UAGGGAAUCUUCGGCAAUGGGGGGAACCCUGACCGAGCAACGCCGCGUGAGUGAAGAAGGUUUUCGGAUCGUAAAGCUCUGUUGUUAAGGAAGAACGAGUGUGAGAAUGGAAAGUUCAUACUGUGACGGUACUUAACCAGAAAGGGACGGCUAACUACGUGCCAGCAGCCGCGGUAAUACGUAGGUCCCGAGCGUUGUCCGGAUUUAUUGGGCGUAAAGCGAGCGCAGGCGGUUAGAUAAGUCUGAAGUGAAAGGCAGUGGCUCAACCAUUGUAGGCUUUGGAAACUGUUUAACUUGAGUGGAGGAGGGGAGGGUGGAAUUCCAUGUGUAGCGGUGAAAUGCGUAGAUAUAUGGAGGAACACCGGUGGCGAAAGCGGCUCUCUGGUCUGUAACUGACGCUGAGGCUCGAAAGCGUGGGGAGCGAACAGG
RNAcentral lists this ribosomal RNA (429 nucleotides) under Bacteroidota bacterium. RNAcentral's name for it is "Bacteroidetes bacterium partial 16S ribosomal RNA". It matches the Rfam family "Bacterial small subunit ribosomal RNA", at positions 355 to 776 of the family's 1533-position model. Lineage: Bacteria; Pseudomonadati; Bacteroidota. The record is from RNAcentral.